AACGAACGCUGGCGGCAUGCCUAACACAUGCAAGUCGAACGAUACCUUCGGGUCUAGUGGCGCACGGGUGCGUAACGCGUGGGAACCUGCCCUUAGGUUCGGAAUAACUCCCCGAAAGGGGUGCUAAUACCGGAUAAUGUCUUCGGACCAAAGAUUUGUCGCCUUUGGAUGGGCCCGCGUUGGAUUAGCUAGUUGGUAGGGUAAAAGCCUACCAAGGCGACGAUCCAUAGCUGGCCUGAGAGGAUGAUCAGCCACACUGGGACUGAGACACGGCCCAGACUCCUACGGGAGGCAGCAGUGGGGAAUAUUGGACAAUGGGCGAAAGCCUGAUCCAGCAAUGCCGCGUGAGUGAUGAAGGCCUUAGGGUUGUAAAGCUCUUUUACCCGGGAUGAUAAUGACAGUACCGGGAGAAUAAGCUCCGGCUAACUCCGUG
This 433-nucleotide ribosomal RNA is filed under the name uncultured bacterium. Its description in RNAcentral is "partial 16S ribosomal RNA". It matches the Rfam family "Bacterial small subunit ribosomal RNA", at positions 29 to 507 of the family's 1533-position model. The record is from RNAcentral.